GGCUGGUCCAAGGUAGUAGGUUAUCUCAAGUGAUAGCUCACAGUUACAGAUCGAACUCCUUUCUACUCUUUCCCCCAUCCUCACUACUGCACCUGACUAGUCCUUA
Vulpes vulpes (red fox) is the source of this 106-nucleotide unclassified non-coding RNA. It matches the Rfam family "Y RNA". Rfam says of the family: Y RNAs are components of the Ro ribonucleoprotein particle (Ro RNP), in association with Ro60 and La proteins. The Y RNAs and Ro60 and La proteins are well conserved, but the function of the Ro RNP is not known. NCBI's taxonomy places the organism in Eukaryota, Metazoa, Chordata, Mammalia, Carnivora, Canidae. The record is from Ensembl.